RNAcentral lists this ribosomal RNA (254 nucleotides) under uncultured bacterium. Its description in RNAcentral is "partial 16S ribosomal RNA". It matches the Rfam family "Bacterial small subunit ribosomal RNA", at positions 524 to 776 of the family's 1533-position model. The record is from RNAcentral.
CACGUAGGGAGCAAGCGUUGUCCGGAUUUAUUGGGCGUAAAGAGCUCGUAGGUGGUUCCGUAAGUCCGGUGUGAAACCUCCAGGCUCAACCUGGAGACGCCACCUGAUACUGCGGUGACUGGAGUCCGGUAGGGGAGCGUGGAAUUCCGGGUGUAGCGGUGGAAUGCGUAGAGAUCCGGAGGAACACCAGUGGCGAAGGCGAUCUGCUAGGCCUGACCUGACACUCAGACGCGACAGCAUGGGGAGCGAACGGG